CCUACGGGAGGCAGCAGUGAGGAAUAUUGGUCAAUGGGCGCGAGCCUGAACCAGCCAAGUCGCGUGAGGGAAGACGGUCCUAUGGAUUGUAAACCUCUUUUGUCGGGGAGCAAAAGACGCCACGCGUGGCGUUCCGAGAGUACCCGAAGAAAAAGCAUCGGCUAACUCCGUGCCAGCAGCCGCGGUAAUCCGGAGGAUGCGAGCGUUAUCCGGAUUUAUUGGGUUUAAAGGGUGCGCAGGCGGACGAUCAAGUCAGCGGUAAAAUUGAGAGGCUCAACCUCUUCGAGCCGUUGAAACUGGUGUUCUUGAGUGAGUGAGAAGUAUGCGGAAUGCGUGGUGUAGCGGUGAAAUGCAUAGAUAUCACGCAGAACUCCGAUUGCGAAGGCAGCAUACCGGCGCUCAACUGACGCUCAUGCACGAAAGUGUGGGUAUCGAACAGGAUUAGAUACCCUAGUAGUC
RNAcentral lists this ribosomal RNA (459 nucleotides) under uncultured bacterium. Its description in RNAcentral is "partial 16S ribosomal RNA". It matches the Rfam family "Bacterial small subunit ribosomal RNA", at positions 338 to 795 of the family's 1533-position model. The record is from RNAcentral.